Apis laboriosa (Himalayan honeybee) is the source of this 196-nucleotide long non-coding RNA. RefSeq lists it as uncharacterized. The transcript is spliced from 2 exons. Lineage: Eukaryota; Metazoa; Arthropoda; Insecta; Hymenoptera; Apidae. The record is from RefSeq and is a predicted model, not a curated record.
GUUCAGUUGUUAUUGAAUGUAUUUCAAGCAUUCGAAUCUUAUUUAUUUAAAAUCGAUAUAUUUAAAAAAAAAAUGAAAACUAUCGUAGUUAUUUUUGCAUUUUGCAUUUGCGUUAGUGCAAUGACACUUGAAGAAUUGAAAACCUCAUUACUUGAUGUGCAACAAACUUGCAAGGCAGAAUCUGGCAUUGAUCAAC